GUUCAUUGCUGGACCCGGCACCGAACCAGGCCCACCGCCCUGAGGCUCUGAGUUCCUGAGCUCCAGCUCCGGACACAGACAGGCAUGGGUGGCCUCUCCAGCUGUGGGGCUGGAGGUCCAUCCAC
Non-coding RNA from Peromyscus maniculatus bairdii (prairie deer mouse), 125 nucleotides. The record is from RefSeq and is a predicted model, not a curated record. Lineage: Eukaryota; Metazoa; Chordata; Mammalia; Rodentia; Cricetidae.